CUCGCCCGGAACCCGCGGGCCUCGCCUCCCCGCUUGCAGCGUGAGAGAUUCGACCUGCGGCUUUCGGCCCCGCCCGCUUGGCUGGCUCCGGGCUCUACUCACUGGUACGGGGGGGUCUCCGGCCACGCCUGGUCACCUCUCCGAGUCGAGAUUCCCCAACCAGCUCUCGCCGUGCCUCAGGAACACGGUAUACAAAGCUUUUUAGGAGUCCUUUGGAAACAGUCAGGAACUUUUGGUGUUCCACCAGUUUUGACAACCUACAUGACAGAAAAGGAAACUUGCUCUCAAACUCCGUAAUACACUCAAGUAGUCAGUCCCCACAUUUACCUGCUGAGUGAUCCCUCUACACCUACCUGAAGUUCAUCAAUUCUAAGUAACCUACAAUCCUGCAGGAGAGAAGAAGGGUCAGCAUCUGAACCAGAGCUGCUCUGACAGUUUGUAUUACUGGACGUUCCUGGAAAUUUUACAGCAACAUAGGCACCAUCCACUUUUAGCACCUAGAAGUAUAGGCAAAUAUGCUGGAUAUUAACACCAACUUGUAUGAAAUUAAUAUCCAAAUUAUAUCCAUUGAACUAACUUAACAUUGAAAGCAUUUAAUUUCUUUUAUUUCUUUAAUAAUCACCAAGUUAUAAAAUUAACCUGAACUUGGGAAAAAAAAUUAACCUAAACAGACUCACCAAAGCUUUGUUGUUGAUGUCUAUAUUUGAGGCUUACUAGAGAACUGACAGUGCUUACUGUCAGUAGAUGUUUAGCAAUUGGCUGAAAACAUGAAGUAUAACCCUUGAAAUUCUCCCAUCCUUCCUCUAUAUUAGUUCAGAGUCCUGCUGUGUGAAAGAACUUUCGUGAUGACGGUAAUGUUCUAUAUGUGCACAGCCUAAUAUGGUAGGUAUAAUAGCCAGAAGUGGCUACUGAGCACCUGAAAUGGAGCUAAUGUGACUAAAGAGCUUUUUUAUGUUAUUUAAUUUUAAUAAAUAAACUGGUCACAUAUACAGUUAGUGGCUACCGUUUUGGACAACACAGGUAGAGUCAGCAAUAUACAGAAAGAUAAGCACCGGACUUGAGACCAGAAUACUGAGUCCUACCUCUGCUACUUGCUGCUUCUGACUGUGAGCCAGUGUGAUCAUCUUAGAGGAAACGCCUGCCCAGAACCUACAGUUCUACUUUGAGAAUCAAAUGGAAUAGCGUGUGGAAAAGGCCUUUGUAAACUACAAGGGAUGGCAUACCUACUCUUCCCCGUAAGUACAAAUGAAAGACCAUCAAUUUCAGAAACAAAUGAGCGGUCAGAAAAACCUUUACUUUGCAGAUACUCUGCAGCUAGAGAGCCAUUUUGUUUUUCAGUACGUGUGGAGGGAAAGGUGAAAUUAAUGGCAUUCCAGCUGAUGGGCUCUACCCACUUGUUUUCUAAGAAAGCGAGACCCUCUCCACAAAGCAGGGAAAAGAAACUAGAAGGGGACUUGAAGACAAUAAAGAUUUUUAAAUGUUAUGGAAGAUGAUCCCUCCUUCAGAACUGUCUAAUAGUUCCAAAGAAUGGAGUAAUAUAAUCUCAAAAAAUACAUAUAUAAUCUCUUUGCAACUUUUCAGCAAAUCUAAAAUUAUUCCAAAAUUAACACCUUUCUUUAAAGAAAGCAAUCUAUCACCAUAAAUGCUGAAGGGGCCCCCAGUCAUCUGUUCAUCUUCAGGGACAGAGAUGAUGGAGAAGCUAUCUGCAGCAGGCUAAGGGCUCACCGAAAGUGACAGACGGAGCGGCUCUGAGAAAGGGCUGAACGCUCACUCACCAACCAUAAAUUCUUGGACAACCAAUAGUGUUCUAAUUCUUGUAGUAAAUCAUUCUUAGACAUCUUAAACAAACCUUGCCAACGGGAACAUUCUUAACAUCUUCCACAAAAACGACCUCCCGAAGAGACCACUGCUCUUCGUUCACCUUUUCCUCCUCUUUCGGGGCAGGGGUGGACCGUCGUCGUUCUUAGACAACAACAAAAUGGUGUCUGGAAACCCUCAUCUACUCUCUCCAAGGCUGCCUGCUGCAUCAAAUCCUAACAUCUCUCUCUCACACUCCCUUCUCCUUCCUUUGGUUAAAGGAUGAUGGAAUCAGACCAAGUGAGCCCCCAAACUAGGAUCCAACACUUAACAAGUAUGUGACUCUGGCCAGCCAAUGAUCACAAAGAAAUAAAUGCAAAAUUACCUCGAGAUGAGCCUAGCCUGGAAAGUGAUGAACGACGAAAAGAAGG
Callorhinus ursinus (northern fur seal) is the source of this 2228-nucleotide long non-coding RNA. RefSeq lists it as uncharacterized. NCBI's taxonomy places the organism in Eukaryota, Metazoa, Chordata, Mammalia, Carnivora, Otariidae. The record is from RefSeq and is a predicted model, not a curated record.